CCUACGGGGGGCUGCAGUGGGGAAUAUUGGACAAUGGGGGGAACCCUGAUCCAGCCAUGCCGCGUGUGUGAAGAAGGCCCUCGGGUUGUAAAGCACUUUCAGUGAGGAAGAACGCCUGGUGGUUAAUACCCAUCAGGAAAGACAUCACUCACAGAAGAAGCACCGGCUAACUCACGUGCCAGCAGCCGCGGUAAUACGGAGGGUGCGAGCGUUAAUCGGAAUUACUGGGCGUAAAGCGCGCGUAGGUGGCUUGAUAAGCCGGUUGUGAAAGCCCCGGGCUCAACCUGGGAACGGCAUCCGGAACUGUCAAGCUAGAGUGCAGGAGAGGAAGGUAGAAUUCCCGGUGUAGCGGUGAAAUGCGUAGAGAUCGGGAGGAAUACCAGUGGCGAAGGCGGCCUUCUGGACUGACACUGACACUGAGGUGCGAAAGCGUGGGUAGCAAACAGGAUUAGAUACCCGUGUAGUC
RNAcentral lists this ribosomal RNA (466 nucleotides) under Vreelandella stevensii. RNAcentral's name for it is "partial 16S ribosomal RNA". It matches the Rfam family "Bacterial small subunit ribosomal RNA", at positions 338 to 795 of the family's 1533-position model. Lineage: Bacteria; Pseudomonadati; Pseudomonadota; Gammaproteobacteria; Oceanospirillales; Halomonadaceae. The record is from RNAcentral.